AUUGAACGCUGGCGGCAGGCCUAACACAUGCAAGUCGAACGGUAACAGGAAGAAGCUUGCUUCUUUGCUGACGAGUGGCGGACGGGUGAGUAAUGUCUGGGAAACUGCCUGAUGGAGGGGGAUAACUACUGGAAACGGUAGCUAAGACCGCAUAACGUCGCAAGACCAAAGAGGGGGACCUGCGGGCCUCUUGCCAUCGGAUGUGCCCAGAUGGGAUUCGCUAGUAGGAGGGGUAACGGCUCACCUAGGCGACGAGCCCUAGCUGGUCUGAGGGGAUGACCCGCCACCCGGGAACUGAGAAUGGGCCCCGACUCCUACGGGAGGCAGCAGUGGGGAAUCUUGCACAAGGGGCGCAAGCCUGAUGCAGCCAUGCCGCGUGUAUGAAGAAGGCCUUCGGGUUGUAAAGUACUUUCAGCGGGGAGGAAGGGAGUAAAGUUAACACCUUUGAUCAUUGACGUUCCCCGCAGAAGAAGCACCGGCUAACUCCGU
RNAcentral lists this ribosomal RNA (489 nucleotides) under uncultured bacterium. Its description in RNAcentral is "partial 16S ribosomal RNA". It matches the Rfam family "Bacterial small subunit ribosomal RNA", at positions 30 to 506 of the family's 1533-position model. The record is from RNAcentral.